RNAcentral lists this transfer RNA (76 nucleotides) under Sulfidibacter corallicola. Its description in RNAcentral is "Acanthopleuribacteraceae bacterium M133 tRNA-Asn". It matches the Rfam family "tRNA". Rfam says of the family: Transfer RNA (tRNA) molecules are approximately 80 nucleotides in length. Lineage: Bacteria; Pseudomonadati; Acidobacteriota; Holophagae; Acanthopleuribacterales; Acanthopleuribacteraceae. The record is from RNAcentral.
UCCGGUGUAGCUCAGUUGGUAGAGCAGGUGGCUGUUAACCACCCUGUCCGCGGUUCGAGUCCGUGCACCGGAGCCA